UGGGGAAUCUUCCGCAAUGGGCGAAAGCCUGACGGAGCAACGCCGCGUGAGUGAAGACGGCCUUCGGGUUGUAAAACUCUGUGAUUCGGGACGAAAGAUAAGUAGACGAAUAAUCUGCAUAAGUGACGGUACCGAAAAAGCAAGCCACGGCUAACUACGUGCCAGCAGCCGCGGUAAUACGUAGGUUGCAAGCGUUGUCCGGAAUUAUUGGGCGUAAAGCGCGCGCAGGCGGCUACUUAAGUCCAUCUUAAAAGUGCGGGGCUUAACCCCGUGGUGGGAUGGAAACUGAGAAGCUGGAGUGUCGGAGAGGAAAGUGGAAUUCCUAGUGUAGCGGUGAAAUGCGUAGAGAUUAGGAAGAACACCGGUGGCGGAGGCGACUUUCUGGACUUUUACUGACGCUCAGGUACGAAAGCGUGGGGAGCAAACAGG
This 429-nucleotide ribosomal RNA is filed under the name Verrucomicrobiota bacterium. RNAcentral's name for it is "Verrucomicrobia bacterium partial 16S ribosomal RNA". It matches the Rfam family "Bacterial small subunit ribosomal RNA", at positions 355 to 776 of the family's 1533-position model. Lineage: Bacteria; Pseudomonadati; Verrucomicrobiota. The record is from RNAcentral.